GAGGUGUCAGAAAAGUUACCA
This 21-nucleotide small nuclear RNA is filed under the name Arabidopsis thaliana (thale cress). RNAcentral's name for it is "snRNA_16309". Lineage: Eukaryota; Viridiplantae; Streptophyta; Magnoliopsida; Brassicales; Brassicaceae. The record is from RNAcentral.